RNAcentral lists this ribosomal RNA (917 nucleotides) under Ascochyta lamiorum. RNAcentral's name for it is "LSU rRNA". It matches the Rfam family "Eukaryotic large subunit ribosomal RNA", at positions 32 to 966 of the family's 3401-position model. Lineage: Eukaryota; Fungi; Ascomycota; Dothideomycetes; Pleosporales; Didymellaceae. The record is from RNAcentral.
ACUUAAGCAUAUCAAUAAGCGGAGGAAAAGAAACCAACAGGGAUUGCCCCUAGUAACGGCGAGUGAAGCGGCAACAGCUCAAAUUUGAAAUCUGGCGUCUUUGGCGUCCGAGUUGUAAUUUGCAGAGGGCGCUUUGGCAUUGGCAGCGGUCCAAGUUCCUUGGAACAGGACGUCACAGAGGGUGAGAAUCCCGUACGUGGUCGCUAGCCUUUACCGUGUAAAGCCCCUUCGACGAGUCGAGUUGUUUGGGAAUGCAGCUCUAAAUGGGAGGUAAAUUUCUUCUAAAGCUAAAUACUGGCCAGAGACCGAUAGCGCACAAGUAGAGUGAUCGAAAGAUGAAAAGCACUUUGGAAAGAGAGUUAAAAAGCACGUGAAAUUGUUGAAAGGGAAGCGCUUGCAGCCAGACUUGCCUGUAGUUGCUCAUCCGGGUUUUUACCCGGUGCACUCUUCUAUAGGCAGGCCAGCAUCAGUUUGGGCGGUUGGAUAAAGGUCUCUGUCACGUACCUCCUCUCGGGGAGAACUUAUAGGGGAGACGUAAUGCAACCAGCCUGGACUGAGGUCCGCGCAUCUGCUAGGAUGCUGGCGUAAUGGCUGUAAGCGGCCCGUCUUGAAACACGGACCAAGGAGUCUAACAUCUAUGCGAGUGUUUGGGUGUCAAGCCCGAGCGCGUAAUGAAAGUGAACGGAGGUGGGAACCUUUCGGGGUGCACCAUCGACCGAUCCUGAUGUCUUCGGAUGGAUUUGAGUAAGAGCAUAGCUGUUGGGACCCGAAAGAUGGUGAACUAUGCUUGAAUAGGGUGAAGCCAGAGGAAACUCUGGUGGAGGCUCGCAGCGGUUCUGACGUGCAAAUCGAUCGUCAAAUUUGGGCAUAGGGGCGAAAGACUAAUCGAACUAUCUAGUAGCUGGGUUCCUGCGAAG